This is an RNA transcript of Mus pahari (shrew mouse), 995 nucleotides long. It is a transcript of the gene named ubiquitin-like-conjugating enzyme ATG3, with no coding region annotated. Lineage: Eukaryota; Metazoa; Chordata; Mammalia; Rodentia; Muridae. The transcript is spliced from 2 exons. The record is from RefSeq and is a predicted model, not a curated record.
AUGCAGAAUGUGAUCAACACGGUGAAGGGAAAGGCUCUGGAUCUGGACAUGGCCGAGUACCUGACCCGGGUCUUCAAGGAAUCAACAUUUAAGGAAACGGGUGUUAUCACCCCAGAAGAGUUUGUGGCAGCUGGAGAUCACUUAGUCCACCACUGUCCAACAUGGCAAUGGGCUACAGGGGAAGAAUUGAAAGUGAAGGCACAUUUACCAACAGAGAAACAGUUUUUGGUAACCAAAAAUGAUAGAUACUACAAACGGUGUAAACAGAUGGAGUAUUCGGAUGAAUUGGAAGCUAUCGUUGAAGAUGAUGGUGAUGGGGGAUGGGUAGAUACAUAUCACAACACAGGUAUUACAGGAAUUUCUGAAGCAGUUAAGGAGAUUACACUGGAAAGCAAGGACAGUAAAAAACUCCAAGAUUGCUCAGCACUAUGUGAUGAAGAAGACGAGGACGAUGAAGGGGAGGCUGCAGACAUGGAAGAUUAUGAAGAGAGUGUUGGAAACAGAUGAGACUACCCUAGACACAAGGAAAAUAGUGAAAGCCUGUAAAGCUAAGGCUGACGCUAGAGGUAAAGAUGCUAUUCUGCAAACAAGAACUUAUGACCUGUACAUCACUUACUUAUGACAAACAUUACCAGACACCACGGCUAUGGUUGCUCGGCUAUGAUGAACCGUGGCAGCCUUUAACAGUUGAGCACAUGUAUGAAGACAUCAGUCGAGAUCAUGUGAAGAAAACAGUGAUCAUUGAGAACCAUCCUCAUCUCCCACCACCUCCUAUGUGUUCGGUUCGCCCAUGCAGGCAUGCUGAAAUGAUGAAGAAAAUUAUUGAGACAGUUGCAGAAGGCGGGGGAGAGCUUGGCGUUCAUUUGUUCAAGCUGUCACUCCAACAACAGAAUAUGACGACACAGGACACUUCACAAUGUAGUGGGGAGGAUGGAGAGUCUAUCCUAACCACUGCUUCUGAUUUUAAAGAAAUAAUACGUAGAUGUGACCAUUGA